This 255-nucleotide unclassified non-coding RNA is filed under the name Hevea brasiliensis (rubber tree). The record is from RNAcentral. Lineage: Eukaryota; Viridiplantae; Streptophyta; Magnoliopsida; Malpighiales; Euphorbiaceae.
AGAAAAUAGGAAGAACUUCAAGAAUAGGGUGUUUAAGUAUAAUCUGGAGUUUCAAGAAACAAAGAAAAGCAAGAAAGAAUAGAGAUCUGAUACUUGGAAAGCAAAAAUUUUGAGAAAGACAAGAUUUCAAGAAAUUGAAGAAAGAAAAUGCAAAUUCCCAACAAAACAGUAAUUUCAGCGUUUGUAUCUUGAAGAAAAGAGCCGAUGGAAAGAAGAAAGGGGAAAGAAAAAAAGGAAGAAGAAAUAGAGGGAAGA